Molecule: ribosomal RNA, 992 nt
Filed under: uncultured bacterium
Lineage: Bacteria
Description: bacterial SSU rRNA
Rfam family: Bacterial small subunit ribosomal RNA
Source: RNAcentral
UGCCAGCCGCCGCGGUGACACGUAGGCACCAAGCGUUAUCCGGAUUUAUUGGGCGUAAAGAGCUCGUAGGCGGUUUGGUAAGUCGGGUGUGAAAACUUGAGGCUCAACCUCAAGAGGCCACCCGAUACUGCUAUGACUAGAGUACGGUAGGGGAGCGGGGAAUUCCUGGUGUAGCGGUGAAAUGCGCAGAUAUCAGGAGGAACACCAGUGGCGAAGGCGCCGCUCUGGGCCGUAACUGACGCUGAGGAGCGAAAGCGUGGGUAGCAAACAGGAUUAGAUACCCUGGUAGUCCACGCCGUAAACGUUGGGCACUAGGUGUGGGUCUCAACCAACGAGAUCCGCGCCGUCGCUAACGCAUUAAGUGCCCCGCCUGGGGAGUACGGCCGCAAGGCUAAAACUCAAAGGAGUUGACGGGGGCCCGCACAAGCAGCGGAGCGUGUUGCUUAAUUCGAUGCAACGCGAAGAACCUUACCUGGGUUUGACAUGUAGGGAAAAGCUCUAGAGAUAGGGUGUCCUUCGGGGCCUUACACAGGUGGUGCAUGGCUGUCGUCAGCUCGUGUCGUGAGAUGUUGGGUUAAGUCCCGCAACGAGCGCAACCCUUAUCCUAUGUUGCCAGCAAGUAAUGUUGGGGACUCGUAGGAGACUGCCGGGGUCAACUCGGAGGAAGGUGGGGAUGACGUCAAGUCAUCAUGCCCCUUAUGCCCAGGGCUGCAAACACGCUACAAUGGGCCCGGUACAAAGGGCUGCAAUCCCGUGAGGGUGAGCGAAUCCCACCAAAGCCGGUCUUCAGUUCCGGAUUGGAGUUCUGCAACUCGACUCCAUGAAGCCGGAGUUGCUAAGUAAUCCCCGGAUCAGCACGCCGGGGGUGAAUACGUUUCCCGGGCCCUUGUACCACACCGGCCGUACAACCACGAAAGUCCGCCAACACCCGAAAGCCCGGUGGCCUAACUCUUUGAAGAGGGAGCCCGUCCAAAGGUGGGGUUCGGUGGAUU